Molecule: ribosomal RNA, 468 nt
Filed under: uncultured bacterium
Lineage: Bacteria
Description: partial 16S ribosomal RNA
Rfam family: Bacterial small subunit ribosomal RNA
Source: RNAcentral
GACGAACGCUGGCGGCGUGCUUAACACAUGCAAGUCGAACGGAAAGGCCCUGCUUUUGUGGGGUGCUCGUGUGGCGAACGGGUGAGUAACACGUGAGUAACCUCCCCUUGACUUUGGGAUAACUUCAGGAAACUGGGGCUAAUACCGGAUAGGAGCUCCUGCUGCAUGGUGGGGGUUGGAAAGGUUCGGCGGUUGGGGAUGGACUCGCGGCUUAUCAGCUUGUUGGUGGGGUAGUGGCUUACCAAGGCCGUGACGGGUCGCCGGCCUGAGAGGGUGACCGGCCACAGUGGGACUGAGAGACGGCGCAGACUCCUGCGGGAGGCAGCAGUGGGGAAUGUUGCACAAUGGGCGGAAGCCUGAUGCAGCAACGCCGCGUGCGGGAUGACGGCCUUCGGGUUGAAAACCGCUUUCGCCUGUGACGAAGCGGGAGUGACGGUAAUGGGUAAAGAAGCACCGGCUAACUACGUG